GUAACCGUAAGCUCGCUCUAAUCUGUGAUUCUUCCCUGGAGGUGGAAACUUCAAAUAACUAAUCCAACUCAACACUGUUGACCUAGAAAGACGGCUAGGUACUUGACGUUUCUCUGUUUUUCAAUUGAAUUGUCUACUCAUCCGUCGAUAACGAUGUUCAAUCGGCAAAAACUGUCUGGAUGUUGCAAAGAAACUCAUUUUUCCCCCAUGUUUAAGCCGCACAGCUUUAACUGACCCCAUGCACACGGGACAUGACAAGCCCCCAUGAGUCGACCAUCCACUGAUCAUUCCUAAUGCCGGGAAGUCAUUUAUUGUCCACAGUAAAGCUGCCCUCAUGUCAAAGUUCUGCUUAAGAGAUACAUCAUAAGUUUGAACCCCUUUUUCCCACAACAUCUUCAACUCAUCAACUAACGGC
Molecule: long non-coding RNA, 415 nt
Filed under: Panax ginseng (ginseng)
Lineage: Eukaryota; Viridiplantae; Streptophyta; Magnoliopsida; Apiales; Araliaceae
Description: long non-coding RNA (PGIN_LNC011621)
Source: RNAcentral